RNAcentral lists this ribosomal RNA (587 nucleotides) under uncultured bacterium. RNAcentral describes it as "bacterial SSU rRNA". It matches the Rfam family "Bacterial small subunit ribosomal RNA", at positions 338 to 916 of the family's 1533-position model. The record is from RNAcentral.
CCUACGGGAGGCAGCAGUAGGGAAUCUUCCGCAAUGGACGAAAGUCUGACGGAGCAACGCCGCGUGAGCGAAGAAGGCCUUCGGGUCGUAAAGCUCUGUUGUCAGGGAAGAACAAGUAUCGGAGUAACUGCCGGUACCUUGACGGUACCUGACCAGAAAGCCACGGCUAACUACGUGCCAGCAGCCGCGGUAAUACGUAGGUGGCAAGCGUUGUCCGGAAUUAUUGGGCGUAAAGCGCGCGCAGGCGGUCCUUUAAGUCUGAUGUGAAAGCCCACGGCUCAACCGUGGAGGGUCAUUGGAAACUGGGGGACUUGAGUGCAGAAGAGGAAAGCGGAAUUCCACGUGUAGCGGUGAAAUGCGUAGAGAUGUGGAGGAACACCAGUGGCGAAGGCGGCUUUCUGGUCUGUAACUGACGCUGAGGCGCGAAAGCGUGGGGAGCAAACAGGAUUAGAUACCCUGGUAGUCCACGCCGUAAACGAUGAGUGCUAAGUGUUAGGGGGUUUCCGCCCCUUAGUGCUGCAGCUAACGCAUUAAGCACUCCGCCUGGGGAGUACGGCCGCAAGGCUGAAACUCAAAGGAAUUGACGG